AGAGUUUGAUCAUGGCUCAGAUUGAACGCUGGCGGAAUGCUUUACACAUGCAAGUCGAGCGGCAGCGCGGGGCAACCUGGCGGCGAGCGGCGAACGGGUGAGUAAUGCAUCGGAACAUGUCCAUGUCGUGGGGGAUAGCCCGGCGAAAGCCGGAUUAAUACCGCAUACGCCCGAGAGGGGAAAGUGGGGGACCGCAAGCCUCACGCGAUUGGGUUGGCCGAUGUCCGAUUAGCUAGUUGGCGGGGUAAAGGCCCACCAAGGCGAUGAUCGGUAGCUGGUCUGAGAGGAUGAUCAGCCACACUGGGACUGAGACACGGCCCAGACUCCUACGGGAGGCAGCAGUGGGGAAUUUUGGACAAUGGGGGAAACCCUGAUCCAGCCAUUCCGCGUGAGUGAAGAAGGCCUUCGGGUUGUAAAGCUCUUUUGUCCGGAACGAAAAGGCUACGUUUAAUACGCGUGGCUCAUGACGGUACCGGAAGAACAAGCACCGGCUAACUACGUGCCAGCAGCCGCGGUAAUACGUAGGGUGCGAGCGUUAAUCGGAAUUACUGGGCGUAAAGCGUGCGCAGGCGGUUUUGUAAGCCAGAUGUGAAAUCCCCGGGCUCAACCUGGGAAUGGCAUUUGGGACUGCAAGGCUGGAGUUUGGCAGAGGAGACUGGAAUUCCUGGUGUAGCAGUGAAAUGCGUAGAUAUCAGGAGGAAUACCGAUGGCGAAGGCAGGUCUCUGGGCUAUAACUGACGCUCAUGCACGAAAGCGUGGGGAGCAAACAGGAUUAGAUACCCUAGUAGUCC
RNAcentral lists this ribosomal RNA (791 nucleotides) under uncultured bacterium. RNAcentral's name for it is "bacterial SSU rRNA". It matches the Rfam family "Bacterial small subunit ribosomal RNA", at positions 8 to 796 of the family's 1533-position model. The record is from RNAcentral.